ACGGCUCAGUAACACGUCGGUAACCUACCCUCGGGAGGGGGAUAACCCCGGGAAACUGGGGCUAAUUCCCCAUAGGCCUGAGGUACUGGAAGGUCCUCAGGCCGAAAGGGACUUAUGUCCGCCCGAGGAUGGGCCGGCGGCCGAUUAGGUAGUUGGUGGGGUAAUGGCCCACCAAGCCGAAGAUCGGUACGGGCUGUGAGAGCAGGAGCCCGGAGAUGGACACUGAGACACGGGUCCAGGCCCUACGGGGCGCAGCAGGCGCGAAACCUCCGCAAUGCGGGAAACCGCGACGGGGGGACCCCGAGUGCCGUGGCAACGCCACGGCUUUUCCGGAGUGUAAAAAGCUCCGGGAAUAAGGGCUGGGCAAGGCCGGUGGCAGCCGCCGCGGUAAUACCGGCGGCCCGAGUGGUGGCCGCUAUUAUUGGGCCCAAAGCGUCCGUAGCCGGGCCCGUAAGUCCCUGGCGAAAUCCCACGGCUCAACCGUGGGGCUUGCUGGGGAUACUGCGGGUCUUGGGACCGGGAGAGGCGGGGGGUACCCCUGGGGUAGGGGUGAAAUCCUAUAAUCCCAGGGGGACCGCCAGUGGCGAAGGCGCCCCGCUGGAACGGGUCCGACGGUGAGGGACGAAGGCCAGGGGAGCAAACCGGAUUAGAUACCCGGGUAGUCCUGGCUGUAAAGGAUGCGGGCUAGGUGUCGGGUGAGCCUCGAGCUCGCCCGGUGCCGUAGGGAAGCCGUUAAGCCCGCCGCCUGGGGAGUACGGCCGCAAGGCUGAAACUUAAAGGAAUUGGCGGGGGAG
RNAcentral lists this ribosomal RNA (794 nucleotides) under uncultured Thermococcus sp. Its description in RNAcentral is "bacterial SSU rRNA". It matches the Rfam family "Archaeal small subunit ribosomal RNA", at positions 85 to 876 of the family's 1478-position model. Lineage: Archaea; Methanobacteriati; Methanobacteriota; Thermococci; Thermococcales; Thermococcaceae. The record is from RNAcentral.